This 25-nucleotide unclassified non-coding RNA is filed under the name Mus musculus (house mouse). Its description in RNAcentral is "oocyte_clustered_small_RNA11116". The record is from RNAcentral. Lineage: Eukaryota; Metazoa; Chordata; Mammalia; Rodentia; Muridae.
UAGGGACUCAUGGAUCCUGAGGUGU